Molecule: non-coding RNA, 22 nt
Filed under: Arabidopsis thaliana (thale cress)
Lineage: Eukaryota; Viridiplantae; Streptophyta; Magnoliopsida; Brassicales; Brassicaceae
Source: RNAcentral
CAAACCACCCUACAAGCAUGCU